Long non-coding RNA from Oncorhynchus tshawytscha (Chinook salmon), 990 nucleotides. The record is from Ensembl. NCBI's taxonomy places the organism in Eukaryota, Metazoa, Chordata, Actinopteri, Salmoniformes, Salmonidae.
GACGGGAGCUCAACCCCUUGAUGAGCGACUUUCCUCCUGAGUGGAGUAGUGACGGAGGUGGAGGGGUAAACGGACAUGCAAGACGCUCCGGAUGAUCCAGGUAUGUAAUUAGUAUAUUCUCUUGUUUGAAAAGAGUAAACCAAAUGCAUUCAAGUUGUGUUUAAACAUUUAUUUACACAAACAAUUGUGACAUUUUCUAUUGUUUUUAGUCGCUGAGUGUUCCAGCAGGGGUCGGUGCUGCUGCAGUGGAGCAGGAGCUGAGUUUUCCAGCAGGAGCUGAGUGUUCCAGCAGGGGUCAGUGGUGCUGCAGCUGAGCAGGAGCUGAGUGUUCCAGCAGGGGUCGGUGGUGCUGCAGCUGAGCAGGAGCUGAGUGUUCCAGCAGGGGUCGGUGGUGCUGCAGUGGAGCAGGAGCUGAGUGUUCCAGCAGGGGUCGGUGGUGCUGCAGUGGCGCAGGGGCUGAGUGUUCCAGCAGGGGUCGGUGGUGCUGCAGCGGAGCAGGAGCUGAGUGUUCCAGCAGGGGUCGGUGGUGCUGCAGCUGAGCAGGAGCUGAGUGUUCCAGCAGGGGUCGGUGGUGCUGCAGUGGAGCAGGAGCUGAGUGUUCCAGCAGGAGCAAGAGCUGAGUGUUCCAGCAGGGGUCGGUGGUGCUGCAGCUGAGCAGGAGCUGAGUGUUCCAGCAGGGGUUGGUGGUGCUGCAGUGGAGCAAGAGCUGAGUGUUCCAGCAGGGGUCGGUGGUGCUGCAGUGGAGCAGGAGCUGAGUGUUCCAGCAGGAGCUGAGUGUUCCAGCAGGGGUUGGUGGUGCUGAAGUGGAGCAGGAGCUGAGUGUUCCAGCAUGAGCUGAGUGUUCCAGCAGGGGUCGGUGGUGUUGCAGUGGAGCAGGAGCUGAGUGUUCCAGCAGGGGUCGGUGGUGCUGCAGCUGGAGCAGGAGCUGAGUGUUCCAGCAGGGGUUGGUGGUGCUGCAGUGGAGCAGGAGCUGAGUGUUCCAGCAGGGGU